This 460-nucleotide ribosomal RNA is filed under the name uncultured bacterium. RNAcentral's name for it is "partial 16S ribosomal RNA". It matches the Rfam family "Bacterial small subunit ribosomal RNA", at positions 338 to 795 of the family's 1533-position model. The record is from RNAcentral.
CCUACGGGAGGCAGCAGUGAGGAAUAUUGGUCAAUGGACGGAAGUCUGAACCAGCCAUGCCGCGUGCAGGAUGACGGCUCUAUGAGUUGUAAACUGCUUUUGUACGAGAAUAAUAGUUCUUACGUGUAGGGAUUUGAAUGUAUCGUACGAAUAAGGAUCGGCUAACUCCGUGCCAGCAGCCGCGGUAAUACGGAGGGUGCGAGCGUUAAUCGGAAUUACUGGGCGUAAAGCGCUCGUAGGCGGUAUGUCAAGUCAAGGGUGAAAUCCCCGCGCUCAACGUGGGAACUGCCUUUGAAACUGGCAAACUGGAGUGUGUGAGAGGAUAGUGGAAUUCCAGGUGUAGGAGUGAAAUCCGUAGAUAUCUGGAGGAACAUCAGUGGCGAAGGCGACUAUCUGGCACAUAACUGACGCUGAGGAGCGAAAGCGUGGGUAGCAAACAGGAUUAGAUACCCGUGUAGUC